RNAcentral lists this ribosomal RNA (497 nucleotides) under uncultured bacterium. RNAcentral describes it as "partial 16S ribosomal RNA". It matches the Rfam family "Bacterial small subunit ribosomal RNA", at positions 28 to 507 of the family's 1533-position model. The record is from RNAcentral.
GAUGAACGCUGGCGGCGUGCCUAAUACAUGCAAGUCGAGCGAACAGACGCGGAGCUUGCUCCUCUGACGUUAGCCGCGGACGGGUGAGUAACACGUGGAUACCCUACCUAUAAGACUGGGAUAACUUCGGGAAACCGGAGCUAAUACCGGAUAAUAUAUUGAACCGCAUGGUUCAAUAGUGAAAGACGGUUUUGCUGUCACUUAUAGAUGGAUCCGCGCCGGAUUAGCUAGUUGGUAAGGUAACGGCUUACCAAGGCGACGAUGCGUAGUCGACCUGAGAGGGUGAUCGGCCACACUGGAACUGAGACACGGACCAGACUACUGAGGGAGGGAGCAGUAGGGAAUCGUGCGCAACGGGCGAAAGCCUGACGGAGCAACGCCGCGUGAGUGAUGAAGGUGUUCGGAUCGUAAAACCCGGUUAUUAGGGAAGAACAAAUUUGUAAGUAACUAUGCACGUCUUGACGGUACCUAAUCAGAAAGCAACGGCUAACUACGUG